RNAcentral lists this ribosomal RNA (364 nucleotides) under uncultured organism. Its description in RNAcentral is "partial 16S ribosomal RNA". It matches the Rfam family "Bacterial small subunit ribosomal RNA", at positions 527 to 896 of the family's 1533-position model. The record is from RNAcentral.
GUAGGGUGCAAGCGUUAUCCGGAUUUAUUGGGCGUAAAGAGUUCGUAGGCGGUUUUGUAAGUAUCGGGUUAAAUACCCAGGCUCAACUUGGGGAAAGCUCGAUAAACUACAAAACUAGAAAUCUGUUGGGGAGGCUGGAAUUCCACAUGUAGGGGUGAAAUCCGUUGAUAUGUGGAGGAACACCGAGGGCGAAGGCAGGCCUCUGGGCAGAUAUUGACGCUAAGGAACGAAAGCUAGGGUAGCAAAUGGGAUUAGAGACCCCAGUAGUCCUAGCCGUAAACGAUCCUGCUAGAUUUUGGGUUUACUCAGAGUCGUAAGCUAACGCGUUAAGCAGGGCGCCCUGGGAAGUACGGCCGCAAGGCUA